Molecule: ribosomal RNA, 394 nt
Filed under: uncultured bacterium
Lineage: Bacteria
Description: bacterial SSU rRNA
Rfam family: Bacterial small subunit ribosomal RNA
Source: RNAcentral
AUUAAACGCUGGCGGCAUGCCUUACACAUGCAAGUCGAACGGCAGCACGGGGGGAACCCUGGUGGCGAGUGGCGAACGGGUGAGUAAAGCAUCGGAACGUGCCCUGGAGUGGGGGAUAACGUAGCGAAAGUUACGCUAAUACCGCAUAUUCUGUGAGCAGGAAAGCAGGGGAUCGCAAGACCUUGCGCUCUGGGAGCGGCCGAUGUCGGAUUAGCUAGUUGGUGGGGUAAAGGCCUACCAAGGCGACGAUCCGUAGCGGGUCUGAGAGGAUGAUCCGCCACACUGGGACUGAGACACGGCCCAGACUCCUACGGGAGGCAGCAGUGGGGAAUUUUGGACAAUGGGCGAAAGCCUGAUCCAGCCAUGCCGCGUGAGUGAAGAAGGCCUCGGUUGU